RNAcentral lists this transfer RNA (74 nucleotides) under Candidatus Aenigmatarchaeota archaeon. RNAcentral's name for it is "tRNA-Pro". It matches the Rfam family "tRNA". From Rfam's summary of the family: Transfer RNA (tRNA) molecules are approximately 80 nucleotides in length. Their secondary structure includes four short double-helical elements and three loops (D, anti-codon, and T loops). The record is from RNAcentral. Lineage: Archaea; Nanobdellati; Candidatus Aenigmatarchaeota.
GGGGUUGUGGUCUAACUUGGUAUGACACCAGCCUUGGGCGCUGGAGGUUCAGGGUUCAAAUCCCUGCGACCCCA